Triplophysa rosa is the source of this 3151-nucleotide long non-coding RNA. RefSeq lists it as uncharacterized. The transcript is spliced from 3 exons. NCBI's taxonomy places the organism in Eukaryota, Metazoa, Chordata, Actinopteri, Cypriniformes, Nemacheilidae. The record is from RefSeq and is a predicted model, not a curated record.
CACACACACGUACAUAGACAAGUAAGCGCACAAACAUAGACACGCACACACACACACACGCACAGUGAGAGCACACAUUUAAGAUAAAGGAGAGAGAAGCACAGGUCAAAUAUAACAGACUAUAAAUUCCUAUAUGCAAUAUUAAUUAAGUAAAACUUUAAAAUUCUAAAGUUUAAAGAGGAUGAAAGUCAUCCUCGUCUCCUUCCGACCGCAAUUCAGGUUUACAAGCCAAGUUUUCCUCUGUUUCUCAGUCAAUACUCACAUUUCCCCCUCCAUGAACAUCCACUUUUGCUACACAAUAAAAACACAUUUUGGUUUAAUCAAUUUAAACAAUCAAAAACAACGCAAAACAUAGGUAUUUUGAAUUUGUGAUAGGAUUCAAAUCAAAUUAUUUAAUACAUGUGUAAUACAUAAGGGAGAUAAAUAUGAUUAGAUAAACUGUAGGCCUUUCAUAACGCGACAGCGUUGUGGGUCCGUGGGCGGCUAUAGACUACACCUCUACCACCGGCGAUAAUGGUACGAUCCCGCUGCAAGCAAGCACAUAAAUGUAAAAUUAGAAAAACAGGUAAUUUUUGUGUUUGUUCGAAAAUCACAAAUUCUGAAGCAAUUACUCAAACACGUAUAAUUACAAAUGAAACUGAGAGACUUCAUUGGUACUUCACAAAUUAUCCAUUUGUGAAGUACUAAUGAAAAUUGAAAAAGAAAGUUUGAAACCAAUUUUCAUUUGAUUAAUUUUGAUGGUGAAAAUUGAAAAAAGAACUGCAAAGCGUUACACGGACCCUCCUCCCACCAAGUUUCCAAAUAAGGAUAUGAAUCCGACCAGAUGCGUCCUGUUUAUAACCUCAUCUCGAUAUUGAAUGUUUUAUUUCCGACGUAAAACGUUCCGAUGUACCGACCGAAUUAAUAGUGAAUGUUGAUUCAACAUCAAAAAUUGAUUUACCACUAAUAUGCCUUUCUAACCGACUUAACAAAAGCCAAUUUUCAAUGUCGUUUUUGGGACAAAUUUGGACCAAAUUUAGACGGACCAAAAAAAGACCAAUUUUCGACGUCGAUUUUUGGGCUAAAAAACGCCCAGUACAGGCCGACUUGAUUUAGCCCAAAAAAAGACGUCCAAAUGACGUCUGGUGCUGGGUGGGAAAGGGGUUGCAAUGCUCCAAAAUUAUGUAACAUUAAAUAAUAUUAUAUUCUGUUUAAUAUUUUUAGACUAUAUACUGUAUUAUUUCCUUGUUGAUGUAGGAAUUAAUUCUAGGAUUUUCUAUGAUUUUGUAUUUGAAUAGCCGUUGAUACAAUAUAAACUAUAAUGGAAAAUAAUUCUCUUAUUUCAGGUAUUACUAAUAAAUGCCACUCUUGUUGAUGAUUUUCUUUGCAUGUUUGCCCUUAACAGAUUAUUCAGCCUGUGUUGAUUCACAAGCUUGACAGAUGCUGAUUUGGAUGACAAAGUAAUGAUCAAUACUGAGUCUGCUUGUUGAGGGGCUACAUACUUAAACAAAGGAGUUUUUUUUGGCAAAACAGGCUACUUGGACCAACCUGCCCUGAUACACACCAAGCUAUAUACUCUUGACUGCAUAGGUGGAUAGGGUUGAUAAUUUGGGAGCUCCUUCAAAUUUAAUCAUGAGGAAGCAUUCAAGCUUCAGUCGGUGCAGUAGGAACUGGAGGCUGUGGAGAAGCAGGCACGGCUGCGAGAACGUAAAACAGCGCUGGAAACAUCCCGGGCUGACGCUCACAAAUCCGUGGUUCCCAAAGACACCAGAGGUCGUCAGUCCGAGCACCGGUUCUGUUCUGAUGCUCCUCCCAGUCCAGCCAGACGCUUACGAUGAUGGGCAAUCCACCUGAUGACAACUACAGCCACAACCUAGGAUCCUGAGAGCACCAGAAGUCGUCAGUCUGAGCGCCGGUUCUGUCCUUAUGCUCUUCCCAGUCCAGCCAGACGCUCGUGAUGAUGGUCAAUCUACCUGAUGACAUCUACAGCCACAACCAGAAUAAUGUUGGACAGACCUAAAUAUCUUUUUUUUCUAUCCACCACGGCUAUUUCUGUAGAAUCUUACAAGAAUUGUUCUCUCUGUAGUUGCAGCAGUGCUAUUUUAAUAUUCCAGAGAAGAACUGUCUCUUCCAGACUCAAUUUAGGGUUUUUUUGUCCACUCUGACACACAUACAUCUAUGGUGGAGUUUUGAUUCCUAGCCACCGUUGCCACUUGAGUUGCUUACUCACUAGGAGACUUAGAUUUUGCUUUUGUUUAAUCCAUAAAUAUAAAUGACUUGAGUUCAACAACAAACAUGCAUGUUAACAUACUUGAAAAAAAAUAUUCUUUCUGCAUGUUUUGGUAUUGUUGCAAAUUGUUCUGGUAUAUUGUAAUUUUAGGUUCUCAAUCCUCAUAACAAUAUUUAAAGUAAUAAUAUACCUAGAUUAAAUUCUUCAAUUGAAUUAUUGACAUUUUCUGACAAUCAUAGCAUUUAUUUCAGUUAAGUUUAAUCAGUGUACAUUGCAUAGAGAAAAACUUACAAUAAUACCAUGUAUCUUAAUACAAUAUACUCUCUUUAAUUCCCCCCUAGUAUUUUCAUUAAGUUUUUAAUUAUGAUGUAUGUAAAGCUGCUUUGCAACAAUGUAAAUUGUGAAAAGCACUAUAUAAAUAAAAUUGAAUAUUUUGCAGGUAAACAUGUACUUGAAUUUUUAGCUCAUUGGUUAGGCACACUUAUAUUCAUAGUUUAAAAGUAUUUGUAUAAUAUAUAUGUAUAGAUAUGUGUCAUCUUAUUUGCUAAAUGUGUAAGUCAGGGAUCUCCAACCUUGCUCCUGGAGAGCUACGGUCCUGCAGACUUCAGCUCCAACCCGCUUCAGCACACCUGUCUGUAAUUGUCAAACAACCCUGAACACCUUGGUAAGAUGGUUAAGGUGUGUUUGAUUGGGGUCGGAACUGAAAUCUUCUGGAGCUCUUCAGGGGUUGGAGACCACUGGUAUAAGUUAUGUUAAAUAUGCAACAUUGUGGUCAUGUGAGACAUUUGAUUCCUUUGUAUGUCCCACAUAUAACAGAAUGACAAUAAAACUGAGCUGACUUGAAAGUGCACACUCUGUACUUUUCAUACUUAAAGAAAUAAAGGUGGCCUCAAACAUAUUAUUCCCCACCAGUUUUCACCUGUUAACCUGAAUCAAACACAU